GAUCUGAGAUGAGGCCUUCGGGCUCGACCUCCAACCCUUUGUGAACACAACUUGUUGCUUCGGGGGCGACCCUGCCGUUUCGACGGCGAGCGCCCCCGGAGGCCUUCAAACACUGCAUCUUUGCGUCGGAGUUUAAGUAAAUUAAACAAAACUUUCAACAACGGAUCUCUUGGUUCUGGCAUCGAUGAAGAACGCAGCGAAAUGCGAUAAGUAAUGUGAAUUGCAGAAUUCAGUGAAUCAUCGAAUCUUUGAACGCACAUUGCGCCCCUUGGUAUUCCGAGGGGCAUGCCUGUUCGAGCGUCAUUUCACCACUCAAGCCUCGCUUGGUAUUGGGCGCCGCGGUGUUCCGCGCGCCUCAAAGUCUCCGGCUGAGCUGUCCGUCUCUAAGCGUUGUGAUUUCAUUAAUCGCUUCGGAGCGCGGGCGGUCGCGGCCGUUAAAUCUUUCACAAGGUUGACCUCGGAUCAGGUAGGGAUACCCGCUGAACUUAAGCAUAUCAAAAAGCCGGGAGGGAAUAA
This 516-nucleotide ribosomal RNA is filed under the name Cercospora capsici. Its description in RNAcentral is "eukaryotic LSU rRNA". The stretch from base 150 to 303 matches the Rfam family "5.8S ribosomal RNA". Lineage: Eukaryota; Fungi; Ascomycota; Dothideomycetes; Mycosphaerellales; Mycosphaerellaceae. The record is from RNAcentral.